Molecule: small RNA, 908 nt
Filed under: Pongo abelii (Sumatran orangutan)
Lineage: Eukaryota; Metazoa; Chordata; Mammalia; Primates; Hominidae
Description: processed transcript
Source: RNAcentral
GGAGCUCGAGGCUAUGAGCAGAUAUACCAGCCCAGUGAACCCAGCUGUCUUCCCCCAUCUGACUGUGGUGCUUUUGGCCAUCGGCAUGUUCUUCACCGCCUGGUUCUUCGUUUACGAGGUCACCUCUACCAAGUACACUCGUGAUAUCUAUAAAGAGCUCCUCAUCUCCUUGGUGGCCUCACUCUUCAUGGGCUUUGGAGUCCUCUUCCUUCUGCUCUGGGUCGGCAUCUACGUGUGAUCACCCAAGGCUCCUGUGCCUGUCUCCAAGCAACACCUUCACCUGGGCUGUCCCACCUACCUGAAUGGCCCUCCCCACUCCCUGCCAGAGCUCUCGUCUCCUAAGCCUGAAGGCUGCAGCCCCGGGAUCUGCCCCCUCGGAUGACUGGUGUCUCAGUUGUCAGCACUUUACUAUUCAGCUGGGGUGGAGACCUAUUACACGCCUCCUUGGCGCCCAGACUCAGGACAGCUUCAGAUAGAAGCAGUCGAGGGGCUUGAGGCCCUCGGGCGUCUUGACGUACUUGGGCUCGCCCAGCAUGCCGAUGUACACCGUCACCUGGAAGUGGUUCUUCUUCUGGCACACAAAGGCGUCAUCGCCCACCGAAAAGUUGAAGCCCUUGUCCGCGUCCACGCGGUAGGUUUCACUUUUAUCAGUGUUCAGGAAAAAGAACAAACUCAGCCCAAGAGGUCAACACGUCCUGCGUGAACCCUGUGCUCACCCAGCAAGUGGAAGGCUGUGGCCAUAUGGGAUCCAGCUCUUUGGCCAUCCCUGGUCCCCACAUCUGGAGCAACUCCCCAUUCCUGUGCCCAGGGAACUGCCAGAGAGGGCAUGGCCCUGUUGUGGACACAGCCCCGGGGCUGGCUCCAGAGUCCACCUGCAUCCCUGUGCCAGCCACCCACCCACCUUCGGG